GCUGCCCCUAGUGGCUUUGCUGGUGGGGCUUCUGUGUCAGUAGGUGGCAGAGAGGAGAGAGGUUUUGUCUCCUAUCCUCAGUGUUCUGACCUAUGAACAUCAGAACGUUUAGUAGUGAAACAAU
Molecule: small nucleolar RNA, 124 nt
Filed under: Mus caroli (Ryukyu mouse)
Lineage: Eukaryota; Metazoa; Chordata; Mammalia; Rodentia; Muridae
Description: predicted gene, 22223 (MGP_CAROLIEiJ_G0036667.1)
Rfam family: Small nucleolar RNA SNORA17
About the family: snoRNA ACA 17 belongs to the H/ACA family of snoRNAs and is predicted to guide pseudouridylation of the 28S rRNA at positions U4659 and U4598. It shares the same host gene together with ACA43.
Source: RNAcentral